Molecule: long non-coding RNA, 216 nt
Filed under: Lathyrus oleraceus (garden pea)
Lineage: Eukaryota; Viridiplantae; Streptophyta; Magnoliopsida; Fabales; Fabaceae
Description: Pisum sativum (pea) long non-coding RNA (PSAT_LNC037982)
Source: RNAcentral
GCCAAAGGACCAAAAUCCGGCCCAGCCAGAUUUUGCCUUGUGGCGCCCGCCACAGCGUCUGUAAAAGGUCGGGGCAGAACCCCUUUCUUCACCAUUUUUGCAACUUACAACCUUCCAAACCCAUUUUUUCACCUUGGAAAAACAUCCUUGAACCCACAAAAAGCUCAUACUUUUCUAACCACCACACCGUACAAAUCAUUUUUCCGAUUUCCAUUU